Long non-coding RNA from Oncorhynchus nerka (sockeye salmon), 523 nucleotides. RefSeq lists it as uncharacterized. The transcript is spliced from 2 exons. Lineage: Eukaryota; Metazoa; Chordata; Actinopteri; Salmoniformes; Salmonidae. The record is from RefSeq and is a predicted model, not a curated record.
GGGGUUGUGUUCUGGCCAUGGUCACUCACAUGGAGGUAGUGAUGGGGGUUGUGUUCUGGCCAUGGUCACUCACAUGGAGGUAGUGAUGGGGAGGGGUUAUGUUUUGAUGGUACGUGUUACGCUACUGAUCUUUUAAGAUAAUGACAUACACACUUUUUUUUUGUGUUUUUUUCAUCCAGAUCUUUUAAAGUCUCUUCAGUUUUCUUCACAAACAGCAACCUUGUUUCUUUGUCUGAGUCAUGAAUAAUAUAUUGUUAAGUAUUUUUGGAAUCUUUUUUUUUUUUUUGUAAAUACAAAAAAACUGUAAAAAGAAAAAUAAUACAUGUAAAGUUGUCUUUUUUUUAAAUACUUUUCAUUCUAAUAUGAUGAAUAUUGUUAUAUUACACUUAAGAAAACAAAACCUGUACCUUUUUUAAUAUUGUGACCUUUUAUUAAAAGUGCAUUGGACACAGCAGUUCUCGGGGUGUGUAAUGUGUGGUUGUCCCAGAAUUAAAAUGGCAGCUUUGAGAGAAGCUAGCAAUCA